AUGUCAGUUCCACCAGGGUGCUCCUUCUUGCCAGCAGCUGGGGCAUGUGGAAAGUCUUGCAGGAGCCAAAAUGAUCAUUACAUCUGUCAGGCACUGACUCUACACUUAGAGAAAAAACAACACUACACUGUGCGUUACUGGCCUUCUGGUUGUGUGCAAGUGGAACUCCACGUUGGAUCAGAAUUUUUCUUCCUAAGUCCUUUAUUGGAAAUGUAGAGUCAAACUGUGUGGACUAGGAACAAAUCUGUGUCAAGAUACUUCUGAUGGGGUGCUCAGAACCUUAUAUUGUAUCUUUAAAGCCAAACUAAACCCUGUAUUUAAAGCAAGUUAUACUGCUUCAAACUGUUCAGCAAGGGUGUGAGCCUGAUCAGGAGCUCCCAACCAAGGAAUCUCACUGUGCUGGAUGAGCCUGUUUAUUCCCCUUGUCUUAAAAUAUUGGGAAAAUUUGUGACUUUGUAGAAAUUCAUUAUUUUCAAACUGCUUCCACUGAUUUCGGAGGCCAUGUUGGAGAUAAGGGGAAAAGGAGCGGCUCUGGUUAUUCUGAAGAGCCAUUCAGGAUACAGGGGAGGUCUACAAGCACUUAGAGAUCUGCCUGAUUUCAGCUGCCUAUCCCUGUGUGCACGUUUUGUGGAAUUUUAAAAACAAUUUCUUUACAGAAACUCCUUCUGAAGGGAACAUAUGAUAUUCUCUGAAUUGUUUGGAUUGGCUUAGAUUAUAGAGGCUUCUUCUGAGAAAGAAAUCAAAGUAGGCUUCUGGUGAGAUGAACACGUAACAUAUUGAUAAAUGUAGUUACAUAUAUGAACCGGGUAAGAAAUAAUAGCGGAGAUUCUUACAUAUGAUUCUUACAGUUCUUGACAGCUUGAACUCCCACAUGCUUGACUAGUUCAAUACUGGAUUAGUGUGAUGCCUGCUUGGCAGAUCCUGUGGGGCAUAGACUCGGCAAGAAACACAUCAUUCAGGAUUUUGGGGACAGCUUGUAAACUAUCCAGCACCACUGGCAAUCCCACUCCAAUCAAAGUCAAGCUCGAAAGUGGAAUGAGGGGAAAAAGAGAAGCUCUUGUAUUUACGCUCCUAUAAUUUAUGUUCUAAAUUGAGAUUUACCCAUUUCUGUAGAAGAGCACCACUGAAAGAUUGCUUUGUAAAAUAAUAUGAACUGUACUGAGCAAGCUAUAAGAUACUUACAGAAGCAAGAAGGAAAAUCAGAAUGAAUGUGAAAAGACUGCACUGAAAUUGUGAUUAUUUUUACUGGUAAAACAGCAGUUGCUAUUAAUAAAGCCAUGGUGUUCGCUCUUAACA
Molecule: long non-coding RNA, 1296 nt
Filed under: Numida meleagris (helmeted guineafowl)
Lineage: Eukaryota; Metazoa; Chordata; Aves; Galliformes; Numididae
Description: lncRNA (ENSNMEG00000018320.1)
Source: RNAcentral